UAUUCUGUUUCAACACUGUUCUGCUCCCCAAUAUGGCCAUCGGGAUUGUGAAAAUCUGGUUCUUCAACAAUAGUUCAGGUAACACUUGUGCUUGUUGAUCUGGAUUUUCCCCUUUAUAUUUUUUUAAUCUUGAUAUGUGAAACACUCUAUGAAUUUUGCUUGUCUCGGAUAAAUUGAUUUCAUAUGUCACCCUGUUAAUUAUUUUUACCACUUGAAAAGGCCCAAAAUAUCGUGGCGACAAUUUUGGGUGUAGACGAAGCCUCACAGUGAUCUGUCGGUAUGGUUGUAAUCUGACCAUAACCCAUUCUCCAAUAGUAAGCUCGACUUCCACUCUUUUCUUAUCUUCUACUUCUUUCAUAUAGUGUUGUGCUUUUUCCAUAUUUUCUUUAACUGAUUUUAUAAUUAAUGAUCUUCUUUGCAGAUCGUCUUGGACAGCCUCGACGACGGACGAAUUUCCCACAAAAUACGGUAAUACCGGUGCUUCCCUUCCAUAUAGGGCUUUGAAUGGCGACAUUCCGAUGGAAGUAUUGAAAGUCGAAUUAUGCCACAAUUCGGCCCAAGGUAAUGCUUCUAACCAUGUUUUAGGAUUCUCAUACGUAAUCAAACGCAAAUACAUCUCUAAUCCUCUAUUGGUGACCUCCGUUUGUGGGUGGUAAGCGGAUGACAUCUUUAAAGUGGUUCCACUGAUACGGUGGAUCUCCUUCCAAAACCUCCCCGUAAAUACUUUAUCUCGAUCCGACACGAUCGAUUGAGGUAUGCCAUGUAAUUUUACCACUGUCUCGAUGAAAGCUUGCGCGACUUCGGUUGCCAUAUAAUUAUUAGUUAAUGGAGCCAGGUGACAACACUUAGAAAGUCUAUCGACUACCACCAUUAGAACUGACUUGCCCUUCACCUUUGAUAAUCCUGUUAUGAAAUCCAUACAUAUAUUCGACCGUACCGCUUCUGGUAUUGGUAAAGGCAUUAGUAAUCCUUGAUAUUUAGAUGUUGGUAUUUUCAUUUGUUGACAUACAUGACAACAAUCCACAAAUUCCUUCACACUGUUUCGCAUAGAUUUCCAAAAGAAUACCUCCUUAAUUCUUUUCUCAGUUCUUUCGAUACCCGAAUGACCGUCAAAUUUCGAAGAAUGGAACUCCUUUAAAAUAGUAGGUAUUAAUGAAGAAUCUUCAAAGAUAAAUAAUCUGCCUUUAAAAUAAAUUUUUCUUUGAAUAAUACUGAAAUUGGCAACACCAGAUUCUCCUUCUUCGAUUUUUUUGCGCAAUUCUAGGAAUUUAUUAUUAUUUUCAUUCUCGCUCUUCAACUUCUCUGUCAACUCAUUAACAUAGGUUGAUAAGGCCAGAAUUGAACCUUCCAUGACUGGUAACUCUUCAUUUAUCACAACUCUUGACAAAGCAUCUGCCGCUUUGUUAUCGACACCAGAUUUAUAUUCAAUCGUAAAUUCAUACCCCAAUAAUUUAUAUAAGAAUACCUGCUGCUCCGGUGUUUGAAUUACUUGUGAUAGCAAGUUCUUCAAACUACGGUGGUAUGUUUUUAUAAUGAAUCUCCUUCCCAACACAUAGUGUCGCCACUUUCCUACCGCUUGAGUGAUUGUAUAAAGCUCCUUAGACAUUUUUUCUGAGAUUUUGCUACUGAAAUAAGUAAUCGGAUGGUUGUUCUGCAUUAAAACCGCUCCUAUUCCAGAUUCGCACGUGUCCGUUUCUAUAGUGAAUUCAAUUUCAAAAUUGGGAUAUGCUAGCACCGGUGCCUUUAGCAUCACCCUCUUUAAUUCCACAAAUGCCUUAGUAGCUUCCUCAGACCAAAUGAAUUUAUCCUUUCUUAGCAAAUCAGUCAAUGGUGUUGCUACUUUAGCAUACGAUUUUAUAAAUUUGCGAUAAUAACCUGUCGAACUUAGGAAACCCCGCAGAUCUUUGAUUGUCACAGGUACGGGCCAGCGUACCAUAGCAUCCAAUUUCUCUAGAUCGGGCAUCACCCCUUCAUUUGUUAUAAUAUGACCCAGAAAAUGUAGAGAUGAUUUUUCAAACUCGCAUUUAGAUAGCUUGACCGCAAACUGAUUUUUUUUUAAAAUCUCAAAUGUAACCUCCAGAUGUCUAGCAUGCUCCUCAAGACUCCUACUAUAUAUUAAAAUAUCAUCAAAGAAAACCAGAAUAAACUUCCUUAACUGAUUUUUGAAUAUAUCAUUCAUUGUUCCUUGAAAUGUCGUCGUUGCAUUAGUUAAGUCGAACGGCUUGACUAAAAAUUCAAAGUGACCAUGAUGUGUUCGAAAUGCUGUUUUCUGAAUAUCCUCUGCACUAACCAUGAUCUGAUGAUAACCAGAACGCAGAUCUAAUUUAGAAAAAAUUCUCGCACCAUUGAGUUCUCCUAAGAUCUCAUCAAUGGUCGGUAUAGGGAAGCGGUCCUUUACUGUUAUAGAAUUCAGUGUCCGAUAAUCUACACAAAGUCGCCAUCCUCCGUCUUUUUUUUUACUAGAAUAACCGGAGAAGAGAACAAGCUGUUACUAGCACGUACGAAACCUUGUGUGAGCAAAUGUUUGAUUAAUGUUUCCAUCUCGGUCUUCUGAAAUUGAGGAUAACGAUAAGGUCUAACAUUGACAGGUUUCGCACCCGGAUUAAUAUGAAUUCUAUGAUUUUGAAUUCUUUCUGGAGGUAGCUCAGUGGGUUCCUCAAAUAUCUCUCUAUAUUUGCAUAGUAAAUCUUCAACCUCCACCGAUAAUUUAUCAUUCUUUCCCUUUUCCACAGAUUUGUUGUCAUUUUGAAUUAUCUCAAAUCAAUAUAAAUAUCAUCGAGGAAUAUGCUUUGUUAAUUUUCUUAAUUCUCUUGAAGAUAAUAUUUCCUCUUCAAUAACAGGAUUGCUUUUCCAGUGUACCAACUGAUUUUGUAACAUAAAUUCUAUUGACAGGUCAGAAUAAUCUGUCAUUAUUUUACCAAUUGAUCUCAUCCAUUGAACUCUCAGAACGAUAUUUGCAUCUUCUAGCUGUAAAUUAAAUAAAUCUGUUGUAAUAGCGGUGCCUUGGAUUUUGAUUUCUACACCUCUGGAUACUGUAGAACAACCUAUUUGUUCCCCACUUCUGCAACGGUAAAUUCUUUAAUCAGUGAUACUACCAAUUUAAGUCUUUUUGCAACCUCCGUUUGGACAAAAUUAUGCGAUGAUCCUGAGUCGAUAAAACAAAAACUCUUUGUCCAGCAAUCGAACCAAUCAACCUAAUUGUCUCUGGAUCCGGUUGACCAUUCAUAGCAUACAAACUAAUCCUUGAUACUUCCGUUGAUUGUAUGUUAUCCAUGGCAUCUUUGAAUUCUUCCACAUCAUCAUAUUCUUCCUCAUUAACCUCGAUGAGCAUAUCUCCUGAUGGUACCCCCAAGUUACCAGCCCAGGCCCGCGAAGAAGCCUAAGCCCAGCAAGACGAAUAGAGGAAAGCCCAAGUCAUUCCGAGGGCGUUAACCUGUUCGAAUGGUCCGGACGGCCCCAUCAGCCCUACGAACAUUUGGCCGACCGACUGGAAAGACCCAUUAGCUCGAGCAGUUAACAUCCCAAAGAAGGCGUCCCAAGUGUAUCGGAUCCAUCGUAUCGGUUCCUAAUCCGAAAGCAUGGGACCCGGAACCCGUUAGGAAGUUGUAUAAAUACCCCUAGGGGUGAAGUGUAAAAGGGGGGAUUGUACUUGUAAUAACAUUUGAGACAUACGUGUAAUAUACUUGAGAUCAUACUAGGGUAGAGAGGAGAUCGGCCACCUUUCUAAAGGGACACGAUCAUCUCCCUCGGUAGAUAAUCUGAAUAGACGUCAUUUACACUUAUGGCCACGAACCCAUUUUUCAUCGCAAUUGUAGCAAAGGUUCUUCUCUCUUCGAGCUUUCAUUUCUUCCGGUGUUAGUCUUGUUCUGAUCAAUGGAUUUUUGUUCGUUUCGCUAUCGACGAUACGCUUAUGCGGAGGUACAUAAUUGCUUCUUUGUUUUUCCCAUAAUGUAAUCUGUUUGUUGCCAUGUUGAAUUUCUUCCUCACCUUCACAAACAGUUGCUAAAGCGAAAGCUUCUGAAAUGCCUUCCGGUCUUGCUUUCACCAAUUCCUUCCGAAUUUCGGGUUUCAAUCCAGUGAUAUACAUCUGCCUUUUUGUCUCCUCCGAAACGCCUCUUACUUUAGUCGCUAGAGCUUCGAAUUUACUUUGAUAUUCCCUAACUGAACUUGUCUGCACCAGCCUGCCAAGACGUCCAGUUGGUAAAUCAUACGGGCUGCUCCCGAACCGCCUUUGAAUAUCUUCCAAAAACUCUGCCCAUGAAUUCAGUUUACCUUCAUCCUCCAUCUAGACCAUCCAAUCUACAGCUUCGUCCUCCAUAUUCAUUGUUACUUGCACUAUUCUUUCCUCAUCAGGUAUCCCAUGAUAACGGAAAUAUCUUUUUACUUGAUAAAUCCAGCGUUCCACAUUUUUCCCAUUGAACUUUGGCAUUUUUGUGUGAAUGUUUUUUUUUGUUGAUUAUCGCGACCGAAACAGUUGGACCCAAUCUGAAUAUCUGAAGAUGAUGAAGCACCAUCAUUAAUUAUUUUUGUUAAAUCUAGAACGGUAGCCCCAAUCUUUGUCAUCAUCUCAUUCAGCCUUGCAAAAGAUUUUUUGUUUUCUUCAGCAUCAAAUUCGAAUUUCUUCCUCAAUGUUGCCACUAUUUCUUCUGGCGAUGUCAUUCUGUUAACAAAAUUUCCGAUCUCAAUAAAAAUUUAAUCGAAAGCAAUAAGGAUGAGAUUACGUCCCUUAUCUAGAUCUAGGUCUAGAGCUAGAUCAACUCUUGGAAGAUUUUUGAAAUAAUUUAAGUCGUUCUCGACCGUGUCCUAAUUAAUCCUUUCCUUUGAUUUUUUUUUCCUGAGAUCCGAGAAUAGUACAAAUUAAUAUAAGAAUAACUGAAAAAUUGAGUUUAGAUACGUCUCUGCUGUAGAUCUAGUAUAGAUCUAGAUCAAAUCUUGGAGAGUUUUUUUUUUGAAUGAAUUAACGUCGUUCCCGACGAUCUUCUUUCAAAGCAGUCCGAUUGAAAACACCAAAUGUUAAGGCAGCAACCCCCCAAAAACGAGCUUGCUAUAGUAACCAGAAAUUUAGUCACAGAGGAGAAGAGAAUUUGCUGCAGGACCGUGUCCUAAGCUUCAUAAGUCAUGCUUAUUGAGGAAAAUAAAAAUGAUACCCUAAAAUUAAGGUUUACAAAGUUUAAAUAGUCUUGGCCAACGGGCUGGGCCUAUAAAAUAAUAACACUACUUUCUAUUUUAAAAUAACAUAAUCUUUAAAUUUAAUAGGUUGAACAUUUACCCUUUUACCCCUACCAAUGUUUUCAGAUGUACUUUCUUUGUUUGACUCCAACACUUCAUCUAACUUUUGCAAGUUCUGUUCUUCCUCUUCUCCAUCAGCUUCCAUCGAUACCUCCUCUCAGAUCUGCUAUUCCUCUCCAGGUAUGUCCAUGGUUGCUUCUUCCUUUCUUCUAUCUUCAUUAUUCAGUCUCUCUAGCAUAUCAUGUAAUACUACUUCCCUUUGACAUGUGUAUUUAUCAUAACUUUACCAAAAAAUAAUCUAAGAUGGCCUUCUGCUUAUGGAGAUUGAGAUGGAGAAAGCUAAAAACAUUCGACAAAUUGAGAAAUUAGGGGGUAGUGGUGCCAGCAAAGUGUGUCUUAUGCGACGCAACUGAGGAAACGACAACCCACCUAUUUUUCAAUUGCGACUUCAGCUAGACUCUUUGAAAUAAAUUUACACGAUCGACAGACUAUGCUCUAUAGAAGACUAUGGGUAUUACAGCGAUAAAGCAAGGAGACAUAAGGGUGAGUGAUAUCAUAGAAAGGAUAUCCAAAUUCAAGAGGUCAGAACCAUGCUGGGUUUACAUUGAAAUACACUUGCAAUAUAUAUAUAUGACAUCUUUGGAAGGAGAGGAAUCUACGAUAUAAGGAAGGACUCUCUCGUCCGGUUAAAGUCAUCGCAAGGAAAUUUAUACGAGAUUUGACUAUCAUCUAUGACCACCGCCUAUAUAAAAAAAUCGCACAAGUUAAGUUUGGAAGAUACAGCUAUCAGAAAAUGGGAGGAAAUCUCGUUAUUGGUUACUGA
This 6052-nucleotide long non-coding RNA is filed under the name Zostera marina. Its description in RNAcentral is "long non-coding RNA (ZMAR_LNC001524)". The record is from RNAcentral. Lineage: Eukaryota; Viridiplantae; Streptophyta; Magnoliopsida; Alismatales; Zosteraceae.